This 2575-nucleotide long non-coding RNA is filed under the name Astyanax mexicanus (Mexican tetra). Its description in RNAcentral is "lncRNA (ENSAMXG00005003985.1)". The record is from RNAcentral. Lineage: Eukaryota; Metazoa; Chordata; Actinopteri; Characiformes; Acestrorhamphidae.
AAAUUACUUUUCUUUCUUCUGGUGGAUUCAGGGUUUCCAUGGCUCCGUCUCGCCGCGCGGCUUCGACUGCGGCUUCAAUCCAGACAACAACAUCAAAAAGGAGGAGGAGGCAGGUCCUCUUCCUCUCUCUCUCACCGUCUCAGACUACCUCACUCCUUCCUGGUCUCUCUCUCCCUCCUCUUCUCCGCUCUCUCACUCCGAGGCUAGCGACUCAGACCGCGAGGAAGAUGAGGAGGAGGAAGAAGACGACGAUGACGACGACGAAGAAGAGCUGGAAGACCUGAGAGGCCGAAUGAUGCAACGGCGAAAGAAAAGGAAGACGGCCCCCGCCUCCAAGAAAAAGGCCCAGAGAGUUCAGCCCCGCCCCCUUUCUUUUGCUCGCUCCGCCCCUUCUUCAUCUCCUUUCCAGACACCACUGGCUCCUCCCACCACGAACAUAAACAACAACAUUAACAUAAACAUCGGGCGUGGCACCGGCGGCACGGUGAGCAGGCGGCAGCACUGUCCAUACUGCGGCCGGAACUUCCGCUCCCUCGCCCGACACCUGGAGAAACACCACGACCAGCAGCCAGAAAUCCGCGCCGCCAUGGAGCUAGCGCACCUACGCUCCUCACAAACCUCCACCGCCGCCGCCACACACCCUGCCGGCUCCGGCUCACACUCCUUCACCUCCCCCCUGCAGCCCUCCACCUCCUCCUCCGCCGCUCCUGGUCCCUCGCUGUUCUCCCGAGAGCGGGAUUCACAGUCCGCCUCCAAUUCCGGAGCUGUGUCCUUCUCCCUGUCCCUCUCUCCCACCUCCACCACCAACAACACCACCUCCUCCACCUCCAAAAAACCUCCACCCGCCCUCGCCACCCCGCCCAGGAAAACCACAGUGUCCGCCUCCACGCCCCCCAUCAAAGCCCCGCCCGUAACGCCCAGCGUCACUCCUCCCGCCAGGAGGGGGCGCCGGCCCAAGAAGGAGAAGCAGGAGGAGCAGCAGAGGAAGCAGGAGGAGCUGGAGAAGGCGAAGGAGGAGCCUCCUCCGACUCCAGGGCGAGAUGAGAAGGACAAGGUGGAGGAAGAGGAGGAGGAGGAGGAGGAGGACGAGGAGAUGAACGAAUCGAGAGACAAUGACAGUGGAGAUGAAAAGAAUGGAGAGACAGACAGUUCUCCCCGCUCUCACAUGCCCCCGCUGCUGUCCUCUCUCUCCACGCUGGUUCUGUAUUUGCGACGGCAGCAGCACUCCUCCUUCCUAUCGCUCUCUCGCGCCGGCAGCUCGGCCGAGGCCUGGCGGCUGCUGUGCCACUCCAGCCUGGCGCUCCUGAUCCUCUACAACCGGCACCGCGAGUGUGAGGUGGCCAAGCUGACCGUGCAGGACUACCGCAGCCGGGUCACCCCCUCACCUUCAUCCUCCUCCUCCGGCAGCGGUAACUCCUCUAACUCCUCCCACUCGCCUCUAGAGGGCACGCUCUCUCCUUUUGAGCGGCAGGUGCUGUGCCACCGCCCCCGUGUGGGUGUUCUGGGGAAGCGCGGGCGAGUUCAGCCGCUGAUCCUCCCGCCACAUUCAGAAGCCUGCCUGGACCUGCUGCUGAAAACCUCUGCGGACGUGGGCGUGGACCCCCAGAGUCCCUACGUCUUCUCCCGUCCCUUCCACUCCCCUGCCACCCCCUUACGUGGCACAGACCUUUUGCGGGGCCUGGCGCGCUCCAGUGGAGCGAAGAACCCCACGGCGCUGACGGCGCCCCGCGCCCGCCGGCAGGUGGCCAUCUUGACCCAGCUCCUGAUGCUGGAGGAAGGGGAGAAGCCCCAGGGAGUUGCCGCCAAACGCCUGGAGGAGUUCCUCCAGAAGGAGUACCACGUGACCCAGAGCUGCACCAGGAUAGGCCAGGACCCGGCGCUGAUGGGCAGAGUGAGCCGGGUGGUGCUGUACGGGGAGAGAGACGGCGUGCUCUUCAGAGGCAUGAGCCUCCAACACAUCUGUCUGGAGUUGGACGGUGAGUCAAGCAGCGACAAAAUACAUAAGGGCUGUUUUAGGGUCUUUCUUUACAGAUACAGAUACUAAUAAAGUUUCUGUCAUCAGCUGCUGUGUAACCUGUUAUUUAGUACACCAGUGACGACUUUCUUCUUCAGUACAUUCCUAACCCUUGUUCUAGCUAUGGUCAGUAUUUGUGCUCUAAUGAUUCUGAUUGAUUUUUUCUCAGCUUCACAGUUGCUUGUUUUUCACCAAUAGACUCUCACAUCUCUGUGGUUUUAAUGUUGGUUACUCCUUUGUCUAUAAAUGCACAGUCUGCACAGAUAAAACUCAAAUCUGAAAAUUAACGUAGAAAUUUAGCACAGUUAAUUGUUUCUGAAUCUUUGUGUCUGUGCUGAAUAAUCUACUAAAGAAGGCUAAGCGUUGUUUAUGUGGAGUAUAACACAGUACAAUGCAAAAGUUCUAUAUUUUGUUAGAUAUAUUUUUUACCACCCAAACUUAAACUAAAACCUUAAAGUACCACCUUCUAAUCAUCCACAGGAACAUAUGCAAGCAAAUUAUGGGGGAACAAUAUGGAUAAAAAUAGUCUCCAAUAAAAAUCAUGCAGAUUCUUAAGACCCA